This 253-nucleotide ribosomal RNA is filed under the name uncultured bacterium. RNAcentral's name for it is "partial 16S ribosomal RNA". It matches the Rfam family "Bacterial small subunit ribosomal RNA", at positions 524 to 776 of the family's 1533-position model. The record is from RNAcentral.
UACAGAGGGGGCGAGCGUUGUUCGGAAUUACUGGGCGUAAAGGGCGCGUAGGCGGCCCGCUAAGUCGAACGUGAAAUCCCCAGGCUCAACCUGGGAACUGCGUCCGAUACUGGCAGGCUUGAAUCCGGGAGAGGGAUGUGGAAUUCCAGGUGUAGCGGUGAAAUGCGUAGAUAUCUGGAGGAACACCGGUGGCGAAGGCGGCAUCCUGGACUGGUAUUGACGCUGAGGCGCGAAAGCUAGGUGAGCAAACGGG